CUACGGGGCGCUGCAGUGAGGAAUUUUGCGCAAUGGGGGAAACCCUGACGCAGCAACGCCGCGUGAGUGAAGAAGGCCUUUGGGUCGUAAAGCUCUGUCAAUUGGGAAGAAGUUACGAUUGUUUAAUAGAUGGUCGUAUUGACGGUACCAAUGGAGGAAGCGCCGGCUAACUCCGUGCCAGCAGCCGCGGUAACACGGGGGGCGCAAGCGUUAUUCGGAAUUAUUGGGCGUAAAGGGCGCGUAGGCGGUCUUAUCAGUCAGAUGUGAAAGCCCGGGGCUCAACCCCGGACGUGCAUUUGAAACAGUAAGACUUGAGUACGGGAGAGGAAAGCGGAAUUCCUGGUGUAGAGGUGAAAUUCGUAGAUAUCAGGAGGAACACCGAUGGCGAAGGCAGCUUUCUGGACCGAUACUGACGCUGAGGCGCGAAGGCGUGGGUAGCGAACGGGAUUAGAUACCCCAGUAGUC
RNAcentral lists this ribosomal RNA (465 nucleotides) under uncultured bacterium. RNAcentral describes it as "partial 16S ribosomal RNA". It matches the Rfam family "Bacterial small subunit ribosomal RNA", at positions 339 to 795 of the family's 1533-position model. The record is from RNAcentral.